This 334-nucleotide ribosomal RNA is filed under the name uncultured bacterium. RNAcentral describes it as "bacterial SSU rRNA". It matches the Rfam family "Bacterial small subunit ribosomal RNA", at positions 28 to 346 of the family's 1533-position model. The record is from RNAcentral.
GAUGAACGCUGGCGGCGUGCUUAACACAUGCAAGUCGAACGGAGAUCAUUUUAAUGAGGCUUCGGCGGAUUUGAUCUGAUCUUAGUGGCGGACGGGUGAGUAACGCGUGGGUAACCUGCCUUAUACAGGGGGAUAACAGCCGGAAACGGCUGCUAAUACCGCAUAAGCGCACAGAGGCGCAUGCUUCAGUGUGAAAACUCCGGUGGUAUAAGAUGGACCCGCGUUGGAUUAGCUAGUUGGCAGGGCAGCGGCCUACCAAGGCGACGAUCCAUAGCCGGCCUGAGAGGGUGGACGGCCACAUUGGGACUGAGACACGGCCCAGACUCCUACGGGA